GACGAACGCUGGCGGCGUGCUUAACACAUGCAAGUCGAACGGAAAGGCCCUGCUUUUGUGGGGUGCUCGAGUGGCGAACGGGUGAGUAACACGUGAGUAACCUGCCCUUGACUUUGGGAUAACUUCAGGAAACUGGGGCUAAUACCGGAUAGGAGCUCCUGCUGCAUGGUGGGGGUUGGAAAGUUUCGGCGGUUGGGGAUGGACUCGCGGCUUAUCAGCUUGUUGGUGGGGUAGUGGCUUACCAAGGCUUUGACGGGUAGCCGGCCUGAGAGGGUGACCGGCCACAUUGGUACUGAGGUACGGCCCAGACUCCUACGGGAGGCAGCAGUGGGGAAUAUUGCACAAUGGGCGGAAGCCUGAGGCAGCAACGCCGCGUGCGGGAUGACGGCCUUCGGGUUGUAAACCGCUUUCGCCUGUGACGAAGCGUGAGUGACGGUAAUGGGUAAAGAAGCACCGGCUAACUACGUG
RNAcentral lists this ribosomal RNA (468 nucleotides) under uncultured bacterium. RNAcentral describes it as "partial 16S ribosomal RNA". It matches the Rfam family "Bacterial small subunit ribosomal RNA", at positions 28 to 507 of the family's 1533-position model. The record is from RNAcentral.